This 76-nucleotide transfer RNA is filed under the name Candidatus Pacearchaeota archaeon. Its description in RNAcentral is "tRNA-Thr". It matches the Rfam family "tRNA". Rfam says of the family: Transfer RNA (tRNA) molecules are approximately 80 nucleotides in length. Their secondary structure includes four short double-helical elements and three loops (D, anti-codon, and T loops). The record is from RNAcentral. Lineage: Archaea; Nanobdellati.
GCCUCCGUAGCUCAGUCUUGGUUAGAGUGCGUCCUUGGUAAGGACGAGGUCACGGGUUCAAUCCCCGUCGGAGGCU